Molecule: long non-coding RNA, 312 nt
Organism: Pecten maximus
Lineage: Eukaryota; Metazoa; Mollusca; Bivalvia; Pectinida; Pectinidae
Exons: 2
Source: RefSeq, a predicted model, not a curated record
CUGACCUUCAGGUUCAUCAAAUGACAAUGUUGGCUGACCUUCAGGUUUGUCAUAUGACAAUGUUGGCUGACCUUCAGGUUUGUCAAAUGACAAUAUCAGCUGACCUUCAGGUUUAUCAAAUGACAAUGUUGGCUGACCUUCAGGUUCAUCAAAUGACAAUAUCAGCUGACCUUCAGGUUUAUCAAAUGACAAUGUUGGCUGACCUUCAGGUUUAUCAAAUGACAAUGUUGGCUGACCUUCAGGUUCAUCAAAUGACAAUGUUGGCUGACCUUCAGGUUCAUCAAAUGACAAUGUUGGCUGACCUUCAGGUUU